AGAGUUUGAUCCUGGCUCAGAUUGAACGCUGGCGGCAUGCCUUACACAUGCAAGUCGAACGGCAGCAUGAUCUAGCUUGCUAGAUUGAUGGCGAGUGGCGAACGGGUGAGUAAUACAUCGGAACGUGCCCUGUAGUGGGGGAUAACUAGUCGAAAGAUUAGCUAAUACCGCAUACGACCUGAGGGUGAAAGUGGGGGACCGCAAGGCCUCAUGCUAUAGGAGCGGCCGAUGUCUGAUUAGCUAGUUGGUGAGGUAAAGGCUCACCAAGGCGACGAUCAGUAGCUGGUCUGAGAGGACGAUCAGCCACACUGGGACUGAGACACGGCCCAGACUCCUACGGGAGGCAGCAGUGGGGAAUUUUGGACAAUGGGCGAAAGCCUGAUCCAGCAAUGCCGCGUGUGUGAAGAAGGCCUUCGGGUUGUAAAGCACUUUUGUCCGGAAAGAAAUGGCUCUGGUUAAUACCUGGGGUCGAUGACGGUACCGGAAGAAUAAGGACCGGCUAACUACGUGCCAGCAGCCGCGGUAAUACGUAGGGUCCAAGCGUUAAUCGGAAUUACUGGGCGUAAAGCGUGCGCAGGCGGUUGUGCAAGACCGAUGUGAAAUCCCCGAGCUUAACUUGGGAAUUGCAUUGGUGACUGCACGGCUAGAGUGUGUCAGAGGGGGGUAGAAUUCCACGUGUAGCAGUGAAAUGCGUAGAGAUGUGGAGGAAUACCGAUGGCGAAGGCAGCCCCCUGGGAUAACACUGACGCUCAUGCACGAAAGCGUGGGGAGCAAACAGGAUUAGGUACCCUGGUAGUCCACGCCCUAAACGAUGUCAACUAGUUGUUGGGGAUUCAUUUCCUUAGUAACGUAGCUAACGCGUGAAGUUGACCGCCUGGGGAGUACGGUCGCAAGAUUAAAACUCAAAGGAAUUGACGG
RNAcentral lists this ribosomal RNA (918 nucleotides) under uncultured bacterium. Its description in RNAcentral is "bacterial SSU rRNA". It matches the Rfam family "Bacterial small subunit ribosomal RNA", at positions 8 to 916 of the family's 1533-position model. The record is from RNAcentral.